Molecule: ribosomal RNA, 253 nt
Filed under: uncultured bacterium
Lineage: Bacteria
Description: partial 16S ribosomal RNA
Rfam family: Bacterial small subunit ribosomal RNA
Source: RNAcentral
UACGUAGGGGGCAAGCGUUGUUCGGAAUUACUGGGCGUAAAGGGCGCGUAGGCGGCACGGCAAGUCAGGAGUGAAAGGCCUGGGCUCAACCGAGGAACUGCUUUUGAGACUGCCGAGCUAGAGUGCAGAAGGGGCAACUGGAAUUCCCAGUGUAGCGGUGAAAUGCGUAGAUAUUGGGAAGAACACCUGAGGCGAAGGCGGGUUGCUGGGCUGACACUGACGCUGAGGCGCGAAAGCGUGGGGAGCAAACAGG